RNAcentral lists this unclassified non-coding RNA (337 nucleotides) under Hevea brasiliensis (rubber tree). Lineage: Eukaryota; Viridiplantae; Streptophyta; Magnoliopsida; Malpighiales; Euphorbiaceae. The record is from RNAcentral.
AUCCAGAAGCACAGUCGUCACCUCUUUCUCCAAGCUAGAAGAGCCUAGAAAUCUUCUGCACUCAUAUAUAAAUCACCCCUCCUCCUUCCCUUCCCUCACGAAAAUAUCAACCGAAAGUGUCCAUUCAUAAUCGGCUUUCAUUCUCCAUUGCUUUCUGCAAGUAACGACUUACAUUUUUUAAGCUUUUUCUCUAAUGGCAGAUGUUCAAAUGGCUGAGGCAGAGACCUUCGCUUUCCAAGCUGAGAUCAACCAGUUAUUGAGCUUGAUCAUCAACACUUUCUAUAGCAACAAGGAGAUUUUCCUUCGGGAACUUAUUAGCAAUUCUUCUGAUGCAUUG